Molecule: small nucleolar RNA, 108 nt
Organism: Lolium perenne
Lineage: Eukaryota; Viridiplantae; Streptophyta; Magnoliopsida; Poales; Poaceae
Source: RefSeq, a predicted model, not a curated record
UUCUAUCAGGAGUGUUUUCUUGUAAAUAUGGAUAAAGAGUAAUGUUGAUGGAAUUUAAGUGAGUAUUCUGUGAGUUCGUACAUGCUCAUAAAGGACUAUCACACACAU